GGCUUGUCGCUGGCACUCUUUGAGUGCGGGAGGAAAGUCCGGGCAGCAUAGGGCAUCCCACUUCUGAAAAUGGAAGCUGUUGGUGACAGCAGGUUAAGGCAGAAGAAAACAACCGCCUGCCUCGGCAGGUAAGGGUGAGAAGGUGGUGUAAGAGACCACCAGCCGGUGGGUGAUCACCGGGCUGUGCCCGCUGGGAGCUGCAAGUUCGCGUAUACCAUCGUCUGAGGGUAGCCCGCCCGACUCAUUCCGAUGGAGGGUAGAACGCUGGAGCCACAGGGUGACUUGUGGCGUAGAUAAAUGACAGGCGGCUGUGUUUCCACAGUCACAGAACCCGGCUUACAGGGGGUCU
This 349-nucleotide RNase P RNA is filed under the name uncultured Prevotella sp. RNAcentral describes it as "Bacterial RNase P class A". It matches the Rfam family "Bacterial RNase P class A". From Rfam's summary of the family: Ribonuclease P (RNase P) is a ubiquitous endoribonuclease, found in archaea, bacteria and eukarya as well as chloroplasts and mitochondria. Its best characterised activity is the generation of mature 5'-ends of tRNAs by cleaving the 5'-leader elements of precursor-tRNAs. Lineage: Bacteria; Pseudomonadati; Bacteroidota; Bacteroidia; Bacteroidales; Prevotellaceae. The record is from RNAcentral.